CUUUUGAAUUUUUGCUUAUUUCAAUCCUGGAUGUCAACAGCACGGAGGGAGAUUAAGGAGUGUUUCCACCAGGUAUGCUUGCGUUUGGAUGAUUGCUUCAUGCCAAAAAUUCAUUUUCUUCUGUAUAACAAAGAACAGAAAAUAGAACAAAGACUGGUCAAAUUUUUAGACCACAUCUUGAUUGACUAUGAGGUAACCUUGGUCAUAUAUAUAAUGACGGCUGCAUCAUGUGUAUGCAUAUUAGCAACUAAAAACAGAAAUUUCAAAAUGAUCAUAGCCAUUACACAAGAACCAAUGAUAAAUUUGUACUAAUACUUUGGAAACAAAAUUGAACUGUUAUUAAAGCUGAUUAAAC
Molecule: non-coding RNA, 355 nt
Organism: Paramuricea clavata
Lineage: Eukaryota; Metazoa; Cnidaria; Anthozoa; Malacalcyonacea; Plexauridae
Source: the annotation of a GenBank genome assembly